CAGCCGCCGCGGUAAUACGGAGGGAGCUAGCGUUGUUCGGAAUCACUGGGCGUAAAGCGCACGUAGGCGGCUAUUCAAGUCAGGGGUGAAAGCCCGGGGCUCAACUCCGGAACUGCCUUUGAAACUAGAUAGCUUGAAUCUUGGAGAGGCGAGUGGAAUUCCGAGUGUAGAGGUGAAAUUCGUAGAUAUUCGGAAGAACACCAGUGGCGAAGGCGACUCGCUGGACAAGUAUUGACGCUGAGGUGCGAAAGCGUGGGGAGCAAACAGGAUUAGAUACCCGAGUAGUCCCUGUCUCUUAUAA
RNAcentral lists this ribosomal RNA (301 nucleotides) under uncultured bacterium. RNAcentral's name for it is "partial 16S ribosomal RNA". It matches the Rfam family "Bacterial small subunit ribosomal RNA", at positions 509 to 809 of the family's 1533-position model. The record is from RNAcentral.